This 747-nucleotide ribosomal RNA is filed under the name uncultured Mycoplasmatota bacterium. RNAcentral describes it as "bacterial SSU rRNA". It matches the Rfam family "Bacterial small subunit ribosomal RNA", at positions 48 to 797 of the family's 1533-position model. Lineage: Bacteria; Bacillati; Mycoplasmatota. The record is from RNAcentral.
CUUAUACAUGCAGUCGAACGAGGUAGCAUACCUAKUGCGAACGGGUGAGUAACACGUGAGAACCUGCCCAUUAGUCGAGGAUAACUAUUGGAAACGAUAGCUAAAACUGGAUAGUAUAUCGGAAGGCAUCUUCUGAUAUUUAAAGGUCCUGCAAGGGAACGCUAAUGGAUGGCCCUGCGGAGCAUUAGCUAGUUGGUGAGGUAACGGCCCACCAAGGCGACGAUGCUUAGCUGAGCUGAGAGGCUAAACAGCCACACUGGGACUGAGACACGGCCCAGACUCCUACGGGAGGCAGCAGUAGGGAAUUUUCGGCAAUGGAGGAAACUCUGACCGAGCAAUGCCGCGUGAAUGAUGAAAUUCUUCGGAAURWAAAGUUCUGUUGUUAGGGACGAAUGGCAGUGGUAGGAAAUGACCAUUGAUUGACGGUACCUGACUAGAAAGCCCCGGCUAACUAUGUGCCAGCAGCCGCGGUAAUACAUAGGGGGCGAGCGUUAUCCGGAUUUAUUGGGCGUAAAGAGUGCGUAGGCGGCUACUUAAGUCUGUCGUGAAAGCCCACAGCUUAACUGUGGAGGGUCGAUGGAAACUGGGCAGCUUGAAUGCAGAAGAGGUAAGUGGAAUUCCAUGUGUAGCGGUAAAAUGCUUAGAUAUAUGGAGGAACACCAGUGGCGAAGGCGGCUUACUGGUCUGUUAUUGACGCUGAGGCACSWWACCSUGGUUGCAAACAGGAUUAGAUACCCUGGUAGUCCA